GGAUGGUGGAUGGUCAGGUAGGUAGGUGGAUGAGCAGGUGGCUAGGUGGAUGGUUAGGUGGAUGGAUAGGUAGGUAGGUGAAUGAGCAGGUGGCUAGGUGGAUGAGCAGGCGGCUAGGUGGAUGGGUAGGUAGGUAGGUGAAUGAGCAGGUGGUUAGGUGGAUGGUUAGGUGGAUGAGCAGAUGGUUAGGUGGAUGGGUAGGUAGGUAGGUGAAUGAGCAGGUGGCUAGGUGGAUGGGCAGGUAGGUAGGUGGCUGAGCAGGUGGCUAGGUGGAUGGGUAGGUAGGUAGGUGAAUGAGCAGGUGGCUAGGUGGAUGGGCAGGUAGGUAGGUGGAUGGGUAGGUAAGUAGGUGAAUGAGCAGGUGGCUAGGUGGAUGGGCAGGUAGGUAGGUGGAUGAGCAGGUGGCUAGGUGGAUGGUUAGGUGGAUGGGUAGGUAGGUAGGUGAAUGAGCAGGUGGCUAGGUGGAUGGGUUGGUGGAUGGAUGGAUGGGUAGGUGGUUGGGUAGAUUGGUGAAUGGGUGGAUAGGUAGGUAGAUGGGUGCCUAGAUAGGCAGAUGGGUAAAUGGUUAGGUGGAUGAGUGGAUGGCUUGGUGGGUAGGUGGAUGGGUAGGUAGAUAGGUAGAUAGGUGGGUGAAUGGGCAGAUGGCUAGAUGGGUAGAUGGUUAGGUGAAUGGGUAGAUGGGUAGGUAGAUGGGUAGAUGGGUGGGUGAAUGGGCAGAUGGCUAGAUGGGUAGAUGGUUAGGUGAAUGGGUAGAUGGGUAGGUAGAUGGGUAGAUGGGUGGACGGUGGGUAGAUGGCUGGGUGGAUGGGUGAAUAGGUAGGUGGAUGGGUAGAUGGGCUGGCCAGGGCUAUACCUUGGAGCAGUCAUCCUUGCCUUUGCCAACCCUAUGAGGCCCAGGUGACUGCACUCCCCUGUAGGCCCUACAUGGGCUUAUUUAUUUCAUGUUUUUGAAAAGCACUUUUUCUGUGACUUCCCCCAUUAUUAAGAUAAUACACAGUUAUUGUUUAACAUUUUAAAGUUACAGAAAAACCCAAAGACCAAUCAAAAUUCUGUGUCAUAACCAAGAGAUCACCAUUAUUAACAUUUCGGGGUAUACCCUUUUCUGUGCAUUUAUUGACAUAUGCAUCUAUUUUUUAUAAAGUUGGGAUCACACAGGACUCAUACUGCUUUAUAAGAAGCUUGGUUCACUUAAUAUUAUGCCUUGGGUACUUUUUUAUGUUCACCAAAUGCUUUUGAAUAAGAUGUAUCUUAAAGUCUUUCAGAAUUUUCCUUUUCUCCAGCUGAACUUAGCCACUUUCCUACCUGUGUUACCAUGAGCAAAUUAGCUUCAGUUUCCUCAUCUGUAAAAGGAGGGUUAACAACAGUGUCUGUGUCGGGGUUGUUGGGAGGGCAGGUGUGGCAGUGUGUGCCUGUCAGUAAGAACAGUGUCCUUUCUCUCCCUGGGGCCUGUCACACCUCCUGCCUAUAUUCACCCACCCAUCCACCCAUCUACCUAAUUCACUUGGUUAGUGUCUGCCUCAAGGGGUGCAAAUUUGGUUUUCUUCCAAGGGCACAGAUUUCUACUAAGACAGACACAGAAACACAAGGAAGAAGCUGUUUGCUCCUCUGGAGAGCCAGGGCCUGCCAGCUAUGUAGUCCUGAUGUGUGGAUGUGUCUUCAUCAUAGUGCAGGGUGAUUCUCUCAGUCAGUUCUACCUCAACCUCCACCUCCCUGGGGCGGGGAAACCCCGCAGAAGUUGGCUUCAUUUUGAUUUUUUUGUUGUUUGCCUUGUCCCCGCCCUCGCUCUCAGUGUUAAAUAUUUAACUAACUACAUAGAGGAAAUUAAGCCUCAAAAUCACCAAAAAUGCAAAGAACCCUUUGAUCAUAAAACACGUUAACUAUUUACAGGACCCUGAUACUUCCGUUGAGCCAUCUCCUUAUUCACUGCCCUCAUCCUUGUGCCACUUCCUUUUCUAACUAGAAAAGUACAAUCCUAGCUGGGCACAGCGGCUCAUGCCUGUAAUCCCAGCACUUUGGGAGGCUGAGGUGGGCGGAUCACCUGAGGUCGGGAGU
Molecule: long non-coding RNA, 2052 nt
Filed under: Homo sapiens (human)
Lineage: Eukaryota; Metazoa; Chordata; Mammalia; Primates; Hominidae
Description: HSALNT0390144
Source: RNAcentral